This 250-nucleotide ribosomal RNA is filed under the name uncultured bacterium. Its description in RNAcentral is "partial 16S ribosomal RNA". It matches the Rfam family "Bacterial small subunit ribosomal RNA", at positions 524 to 773 of the family's 1533-position model. The record is from RNAcentral.
AACGUAGGUGGCGAGCGUUAUCCGGAUUUACUGGGCGUAAAGCGUGUUCAGGCGGUUUGGAAAGUCGGGCAUGAAAUCUCUUGGCUCAACCAGGAGAGGCUGUCCGAUACUUCCAGACUUGAGGGCAACAGAGGGCGGUGGAAUUCCGGGUGUAGUGGUAAAAUGCGUAGAUAUCCGGAGGAACACCUGUGGCGAAGGCGGCCGCCUGGGUUGCCCCUGACGCUAAAACACGAAGGCUAGGGCAGAGAAC